RNAcentral lists this long non-coding RNA (956 nucleotides) under Lupinus angustifolius (narrow-leaved blue lupine). RNAcentral's name for it is "long non-coding RNA (LANG_LNC001567)". The record is from RNAcentral. Lineage: Eukaryota; Viridiplantae; Streptophyta; Magnoliopsida; Fabales; Fabaceae.
UGGCAUUGCUGUAAACAAAGGGAUGGGUAAAGAUGCUCCUCAAGUUGCUGAUAAUCUGGGUGGGGACUUCUACAAAGUAAUACUGCAAGAAGAACCUUUCAAGUCAACAACGGUAUGUAUAAUGAUGGCAGAGGGUGUUUUUGGAGUUAACUACUAGUUUUACUCUUUUAUGAUGAUGUUAACUUUUUGUAUAUUGAAAUCUCUGUAUAAACUGUAUUCUUCCUUGGUUGGGAAGAAAUUUUUUAAGCUAUGCUGGCUGGUUGGAUAUUUAUUUGUUUGGCUCAUUGAAACACAAUUCUCAUAAUUUGCUAGAGAACCGUGAACUGGUUCUUGCAUACCAAAUCGUGGUUCUUUUGCGAAUUGGUUCCUUAUUAGAAUUGGUUCCCUAUAAGGAACGAACCAGAAUUUCACAUACAAUUUAAGUUAAAGAAAGAAGAGUAAUUGGUGGUAUAUACUCACCUACAUGAAUGAUUUACAACAAACAAGAAAGAAUCUUAUCAUGAGGUGUUUCUCCUAUGGUGAAACAAGAGUUGAUUCAAACCUAGAAGAAACACUAGUAUAAACGACUGCACAUGGAGAUAUAGGAACUCCACUGAUUAGCAUACCAACUAUGUAUAAAGUAUAAAUUAAGUAUACCCAUAACGUACCAGUAUUUGAUAAGGUACUGUACCACGUACUACGUACCCAUACCACAGAGAACUGCAUAUUAGGUGACUAUGGUUUGGCUAUUGUUGCGCUGGUUGUCAAUCAUAUCCAUUUCAUAGAAGAAUGAUAAUAGUGUUCCUGCAUAGUCCAUUCAGGAAUUUAUUUACUUGUGUACAUAAAUUAAGCUAAUUAUGAAUCAGAUAAAUCAUUUUCUUAGCUCCAUGUAAAACAAUACAUUCAUAUCGAUUUUCGGUUUCAGGUAAAAUCAGUACUUAAACAAUAUCGGUGGGCUCCUUUUGUUCCGGUUGCAA